GCACCGAAUGCAGCACCUGAAGCAGAUUCAUGCUCCCUCCUGAGCAGGUCGCGCAGACUUAAAAGCUGUACCAGGUCUUCUAAAGACAACAAAACUGCAUUUAAAAGCUCCAAUGAAACUUUUAAAUGCAGCAGAGAAAAACAUGGCCGCUCCUUUCCUGCUCGUCCUGCUUCAUCUGCUGUCAACCUCCGCUGAUGAUUGCCCGAGCCAUCCACAUAACAGUCUCAAUUGUUAUAACGACUACAGUCACAAUAUCAGCUGCACAUGGAAAAGCUCUCAUCACAAGAAUGACACCUGCUCUAUAUAUGCCAAAAUACU
Long non-coding RNA from Poeciliopsis prolifica (blackstripe livebearer), 318 nucleotides. RefSeq lists it as uncharacterized. The record is from RefSeq and is a predicted model, not a curated record. The transcript is spliced from 3 exons. NCBI's taxonomy places the organism in Eukaryota, Metazoa, Chordata, Actinopteri, Cyprinodontiformes, Poeciliidae.